This 495-nucleotide ribosomal RNA is filed under the name uncultured bacterium. RNAcentral describes it as "partial 16S ribosomal RNA". It matches the Rfam family "Bacterial small subunit ribosomal RNA", at positions 30 to 507 of the family's 1533-position model. The record is from RNAcentral.
UGAACGCUGGCGGCGUGCCUAAUACAUGCAAGUCGAGCGAACAGACGAGGAGCUUGCUCCUCUGACGUUAGCGGCGGACGGGUGAGUAACACGUGGAUAACCUACCUAUAAGACUGGGAUAACUUCGGGAAACCGGAGCUAAUACCGGAUAAUAUAUUGAACCGCAUGGUUCAAUAGUGAAAGACGGUUUUGCUGUCACUUAUAGAUGGAUCCGCGCCUCAUUAGCUAGUUGGUAAGGUAACGGCUUACCAAGGCAACGAUGCGUAGCCGACCUGAGAGGGUGUUCGGCCACACUUGAACUGAGACACGGUCCACACUCCUACGGGAGUCAGCAGUAUGGAAUCUUACGCAAUGGGCGAAAGCCUGACGGUGCCACUCCGCGUGAGUGAUGAAGGUCUUCGGAUCGUAAAUCUCUGUUAGUAGGGAAGACCAAAUGUGUAAGUAACUAUGCACGUCUUGACGGUACCUAAUCAGAAAGCCACGGCUAACUACGUG